Molecule: ribosomal RNA, 206 nt
Filed under: uncultured bacterium
Lineage: Bacteria
Description: partial 16S ribosomal RNA
Rfam family: Bacterial small subunit ribosomal RNA
Source: RNAcentral
CGUGUAGGCGGCCAGAUAAGUCCGCUGUGAAAUCUCGAGGCUCAACUUCGAGCUGUCGGUGGAAACUGUCUGGCUAGAGUCCGGAAGAGGAGAAUGGAAUUCCUGGUGUAGCGGUGAAAUGCGCAGAUAUCAGGAAGAACACCCGUGGCGAAGGCGGUUCUCUGGGACGGUACUGACGCUGAGAGCGAAAGCGUGGGGAGCGAACA